GGAGAAUCAGAGGAUGAUAAGUACAUGCCUCUCUCCAAAGACGAAGUGAGCCUUGGGGACGAAGAAUUCACCAUGUCUGAGGACCCCGUCGAGCAGGAGCGCUUCAAGUGCCGGCUUAUAGCCACUACAAAAAGCCUGAAGAAAAAGCAACAACAGCUUCAAGCUGAUCAAGAUCUACUAACUAACAGAUGGACCGAAGUCCUGGCUGCUGAGGAAUACAGACUCGAGCGCCCUAGCAAAAGCUACCCAAAGCGCAGGUUGCUACCCCAGCUCAAGGAGGAGGCUUUAACACCCAUGCUACCAGCGCAUGAUGCGGCUGAC
RNAcentral lists this ribosomal RNA (321 nucleotides) under Triticum aestivum (bread wheat). Its description in RNAcentral is "partial small subunit ribosomal RNA". The record is from RNAcentral. Lineage: Eukaryota; Viridiplantae; Streptophyta; Magnoliopsida; Poales; Poaceae.